CCUGUCCGACGGCCAUGUGUUUACCUCGCCAGGGCACGGCAGUGGGGCGCCCUCCUUUCUCGCAUUCCUGGCGCGGCGGCUGCUCGGCGGAUUGCAAAGAGGCAGGUGGAGGAGCUCACCAAGUAGCCCGCCGGAGUCAGAGGGCGUUCGAGGAUAGGGACAAGCCGGCGGCGCGAGCUCUGCCUCCGGGGAGAGGCCGAGGGGCGAUGCAUCUUUGGCCUUGAGACAAGAACCGAGACCAAAUUAGGUGCAUCAAAAACUUCAGAUCGAUUUUCGGCGGCUUCGCUCAAGGCCGACGAUUGGGCGCGUGUGGUGGCAGUUCGAGGAGUGGGGCGACAUCUUCUGGUGGAUUGUUGUGUGUGCUCUGGUCUGAAAGUUUGUGCUUGGAAGGAGUGGCAACAUCUUCAGGUGGAAGGAGUGGCAGUUCAAGGACAUCUUCAGCAGUGGUCUGAAUUGAUUCAGGAAUUCUGCACGCCAUCCAAAUUGAUUUACUAAAUAUUGGAUGUUCAGCACUCUCCUGAGGUGAAUAAUGUAUUGAAAGAGAUGUCAUCAUCAGAGGAUGAGCAAGUUGAACACGGCACUGUAGAACAUGAAUUGUUUUCCAUGCCAUCUGAUGCCAUGGAGCAUGGAACAAAAUUGUUUUCCAUGCCAUCUGAUGCCAUGGAGCAUGGAACAAAUAGCAGCAGCAGCACAUAGCAGCAGAUCAAUCUACAGGCAACUGUACCUUCUUCAGAGUGCAAAUAGCAGCAGCAGCAACACGGCGCAGUCACUUGGACCAGCAGCAGCAGCAACACGGCAUGUUCACUUGGAUCAGCAGCAGCAGCACAGGCAGAGGAGCAGCAGCAUCAACACGGGCAGAGGAGCAGCAGCAGCACGGGCUAGCUCCACCGGCGGCAGGGGAGAAGCAGAGGAGAAACAGAGCAGCAGCAGGCACGCGGCCAGAUGAGAAGGAGCAGCACGGCAGCCGGUGGGAGCUCGACGAGGACUUGCGGGAGAUAGAGGAGGACGCGCGCAAGCUCUUGUCCACCGGAUCGUGGAGGCCGGUUCCGGCGAUGCCCGUAGGAGAUCACGGCGGGAGGGAUCGCGGCGGCACACGGGAGGCAGCUCAAGGUGAGAGGAGGACUCGCGGUAGCUCGAGGAAGAUGAGAGGGAGCUCCUGCUCCGCCGGAUCGUGGUGGGAAAUUCCGGCGACGUCCGCAGGUAAUCCGGCGAGUGGGGAUCGCUGCGGCACAGGUUCGGGCGGCGGCGGCGGCAAAGGUACUUGGCACGGCGGCGGCGGCAAAGGUACGUGGUGACGGAGGCGGAGCACUUCCUGAUGGGCGCCAAAUCACGCAGCUUGGCGGCGCCGGCCCCUAGCGACGCACGGGCGACGGCGGAGGAAGAAGACGGGGGUGGAGGGACUUGUUUGCGACGGUUUGGAAACUACGAGUUUUUUUUGCAAAAUCACCAAUGAACUACGGGCACGACAUGUUUUUCGGGACGGAGGGAGUACUAACCUGGCAAUCUAUCACGACAAAAUCAAGUUCAUAGACUGCAUCAUUAUCUGAGUUUCUGACUCCCAGAUACUUGCAAACCACAUCAUAAUUUCGCACUUAUAAGAUUGCCUAGAAUAUAGCUCAUAUUGAUGCACCCCAACCUACAACAUCAGCAACAUUCAUUAGAGGAUACAAUGAAAAUUAAGAAUAAAAAUACUGUUGAUAUUAAGGGAAAACAUGGCAGACCAGCAAAUCUUGUGCCAGUAAAAAAUUUGAGCUAAUAGAAGAUGAUGAACAAACAAAUAUAGUCAAGCUACUUUCUUCACCAUGAGAUCCCAUGUAUUGAAGUAACUACUAAAUAUGUCAUUUUCAGUUUAGUAGCCUAAAUGUACCCUCACUCAUGGUGCAAUGCCAUGAUGCAUAGAAGAUUUUUUACGAAAAAAUUGCAACCUAUAUUAACAUAUGGGAAGAUUGUUUCAUGUAUAGGGGAGAUCUAGUGGCUUACCAACCAACCGGACAAUGAGAGCAAGAUGUACCAUACAACUCACGGCUUCAGCUGUUGUACCCCGUGUGCUUGUCAAUCAGCAAGUGCACACAACCUAAGUGCCAGCAGGUGCUUGAUCGCUUACCAGAUCCUGUCGGUAUAUCUGGUGCCAGCGCCAUCCGCCGGCAUGGACCUCACGUACCCACAGAGUGCCAGCGUUCAACGCGUCCGCCCUCCUCGUGCAGUUGCCUGGGUGUGUCUACUCGUGUUCAGGCUGUCGCAAAAGCGCAACUGAAGAUCGUUGGCGCCGACUGUCUCCUCCAGAACCGCUUGUACCAGGGCUGACCCCAUGGAGGCAGGAGGCUUACCGCGCAGGCUAGGACACAAAGAGGCUGGCGGUGGCAAAGCCCACAAGAGGCCAUCGAUGAUCUCGAGCAGCUCCCCACUGGAAGCGAUAGGAAGGCCCGAUAGGACGCGCAUCUUCCAGACCAUGCAUACGCCGCCAUCCUGUGCAAGAGCAAGCAGCCAAUUCACAGGUCAGGCCCAAUAUUCAGCACACAAACUUAUGUAAAAUACAAAGAAAUUUACCAAGGUCAGGCCCUCUUUAUACUCCGUA
This is a non-coding RNA of Aegilops tauschii subsp. strangulata, 2575 nucleotides long. Lineage: Eukaryota; Viridiplantae; Streptophyta; Magnoliopsida; Poales; Poaceae. The record is from RefSeq and is a predicted model, not a curated record.